RNAcentral lists this long non-coding RNA (543 nucleotides) under Dasypus novemcinctus (nine-banded armadillo). RNAcentral's name for it is "lncRNA (ENSDNOG00000050064.1)". Lineage: Eukaryota; Metazoa; Chordata; Mammalia; Cingulata; Dasypodidae. The record is from RNAcentral.
AGCCCCUCUGAAUGCUGUUUCAAUGCUGCUUCACGCCAAAGGAGGAGGCACCUUUUCUCAUUUAAAUUCCUUAGCUCUAUAGACUUCUGGGGCAGAGGCCUGCUUUAAAAAUGGCAGGUGAAAUGUGAGGCAUGAAAAUAAUAUUGUAGAAACUUCUCCCUUGAUACUGUCUGAUUACACAUCAAAAUACAAGAAAAAGUAUUUUUGUGGAAAGAACACUAAAGAGUCAGAAAAGUUCCAGUUUUGCUUAUUGCUGUGCAACCUUGGGAAAGUCAUUUAUCUUCCCUGAGCUCUUAACAUUCCCAUGGGUAAAAUGGGAACACUUCAGAAAGGUUUUGUGGGGAUGAAACAAGCAGGAAAGCACUCAGCAAACUGCAUGCAGAUGGUAGGCCCCAGGCUACACGUGGCCCCAGGAGGUUCUCUGGGAAAUCGCUGCAAGGUUCCAACGCUCACUUCCCCCGCGAGCCCGACGCCUGCCUCCGCAGGGCGAGUGCCGCCGGGCCCCCCGCGGGCUGGGGCUCAGCCGCGACAGCGCCGCCCCCG